Non-coding RNA from Tetranychus urticae (two-spotted spider mite), 633 nucleotides. The record is from RefSeq and is a predicted model, not a curated record. NCBI's taxonomy places the organism in Eukaryota, Metazoa, Arthropoda, Arachnida, Trombidiformes, Tetranychidae.
UUUUCCGAACUUAUAAAAAAAUUAACUAAAUCUGUGUUUCAUUAACAUUACUAUUCAACCAAUUAAGUAACUUUUAUUUUUCGUACUUAUGAUUACUAUGCUGGUUGAUUAUCUUUUAACAACUAAUGCUUUUUACUCAACAGAUCAAGAAUCAAAGUCACGAGUGUCGCUUUAAAUGUACUUAAGUAGCUUUCUUUAUACCAUAAGUUACAAGAUCAAAUGCUACUAAAAAUCAUUAUCGAAUACAUUUGAUGCUCAAAUGAGCAGUAUUUUAUCACAGCCACAACCAAAAAUUGUUGACAAUGACCUGAUAUCCUUUAAACUGUGCCUGUGCACCUGUUCAAACUUGCUCAAUUUCAGCUGAUUAUUUCAUCAUCCAAUGAUCUGAAUUCAGACUAAUGCAGACAGCAGACUGUCUGCAUUAUUCUGGUUAGCUAAUUUCAGGCACCAAAAAUGAUUCAACUUGGAGCAAGCUGCUUGAUAUUAAGCACUCCGAUCUCGAAUUUUCAUAAUACCUGUCAUUUGUCAUUUUCGGAUUAUUACGUUAUCAGUGGAUUGGAUAAAUAAUGACGAUAUUGGGUGAGAAAAAGUCAGCAUGUACAAUACACUGCACAAAUGUAUAACGUCGCUGGU